This 74-nucleotide transfer RNA is filed under the name Saccoglossus kowalevskii. RNAcentral's name for it is "tRNA-Ala". It matches the Rfam family "tRNA". From Rfam's summary of the family: Transfer RNA (tRNA) molecules are approximately 80 nucleotides in length. The record is from RNAcentral. Lineage: Eukaryota; Metazoa; Hemichordata; Enteropneusta; Harrimaniidae.
GGGGAAUUAGCUCAAGUGGUAGAGCGCUCGCUUAGCAUGUGAGAUGUACCCGGGAUCGAUACCCGGAUUCUCCA